Molecule: long non-coding RNA, 790 nt
Organism: Salvia miltiorrhiza (redroot sage)
Lineage: Eukaryota; Viridiplantae; Streptophyta; Magnoliopsida; Lamiales; Lamiaceae
Exons: 2
Source: RefSeq, a predicted model, not a curated record
CUGUCAGUAUGUCGGCACACUGACAAUAGUAACAAGACCAGAAAAAGAAGCAGAAUCUGUCAAUCACCUCUAUUGGCUGAGGAGGAGAGCGGGUUAUCUUGUCAUGAUUCACCUCAGCCGAAUGAUUCUGAUAUUCCAUUAUGUUUUGCUGGGAGAAGUGGUAUGUAUAAUAAGGUUGAACAAGCUUAUCAGCUCGUUAACUCCUACCCCAGUAACCUGUCACUGUCUAUAUUUAGUAAUGUUGGCAGUCCAGAAUCCAUACUGAAGAGUUCAGCUCUAAGUUACAGAAAUACACCUUCUAUCAUACGAAGGAAAGGAUUUAGAGAUGUAGCUAGUGCAAUUUGCUCUAGCACUCCAAUGCUCGUUCUCUCAGGCGCUGCUGAAAGAAAAUACGGUGACUGCUCAAAUUUGACUAGUGAGAGAGGUUGCUUGACUCCCCACGAUUCUGGAUCUGGUUCACCAGUUAUUGGACAAGCUGUGGAAAGACGCCUGGAAUAUGCAUUUGAUUUAGAGUGGGAUUCAAGCUCUGUUAAAUGUAACACUCCAGGAUCUGCAUCAGAACUUAAAGCUGAUAAAAAGAUAAUGUUGACUCCAUGAAAAUGAAUCUAUAGGAGAAGGGAACGAUGAUCGUACAAGGCUUGACAUUAUUUUGGGUGAGGUGCAUUUCUUGAAAUAUAGGUUUCUCUCCAGUUGUCAACAUCUGUAAAUGGCUCAACAAAAGGGAAUACAUUUACACUGACUAUUUGGUCUGCUAAAACCAUUAAUAAAAAAAUGAUCUGCAUUUGUUUUA